GGCGAACGCUGGCGGCGCGCCCAACACAUGCAAGUCGAACGGGGAUAAAUCAACGGAAGGCUUCGGCCGGAAGAGGAUAUAUUCUAGUGGCGGACGGGUGAGUAACGCGUGAGUAACCUGCCUUUCAGAGGGGGAUAACGGCCGGAAACGGCCGCUAAUACCGCAUAACGUAAAGGGACGGCAUCAUUCUUUUACCAAAGGAGCAAUCCGCUGAGAGAUGGACUCGCGUCCAAUUAGCCAGUUGGCGGGGUAAAGGCCCACCAAAGCGACGAUUGGUAGCCGGACUGAGAGGUUGAACGGCCACAUUGGGACUGAGACACGGGCCCAGACUCCUACGGGAGGCAGCAGUGGGGAAUAUUGC
RNAcentral lists this ribosomal RNA (361 nucleotides) under uncultured bacterium. RNAcentral's name for it is "bacterial SSU rRNA". It matches the Rfam family "Bacterial small subunit ribosomal RNA", at positions 28 to 367 of the family's 1533-position model. The record is from RNAcentral.